AGUGGCAGACGGGUGAGUAACGCGUGGGAACCUACCUAGUAGUACGGAACAACAGUUGGAAACGACUGCUAAUACCGUAUACGCCCCCCGGGGGAAAGAUUUAUCGCUAUUAGAUGGGCCCGCGUUGGAUUAGCUUGUUGGUGAGGUAACGGCUCACCAAGGCGACGAUCCAUAGCUGGUCUGAGAGGAUGAUCAGCCACACUGGGACUUAGACACGGCCCAGACUCCUACGGGAGGCAGCAGUGGGGAAUAUUGCACAAUGGGCGCAAGCCUGAUGCAGCCAUGCCGCGUGAGUGAAGAAGGCCCUAGGGUUGUAAAGCUCUUUCGGCGGGGACGAUAAUGACGGUACCCGCAGAAGAAGCCCCGGCUAACUCCGUGCCAGCAGCCGCGGUAAUACGGAGGGGGCUAGCGUUGUUCGGAAUUACUGGGCGUAAAGCGCGCGUAGGCGGAUCUUUAAGUCAGGGGUGAAAUCCCGGGGCUCAACCUCGGAACUGCCCUUGAUACUGGAGAUCUUGAGUCCGGAAGAGGUUAGUGGAAUUCCAAGUGUAGAGGUGAAAUUCGUAGAUAUUUGGAAGAACACCAGUGGCGAAGGCGGCUAACUGGUCCGGUACUGA
This 614-nucleotide ribosomal RNA is filed under the name uncultured bacterium. RNAcentral describes it as "bacterial SSU rRNA". It matches the Rfam family "Bacterial small subunit ribosomal RNA", at positions 94 to 743 of the family's 1533-position model. The record is from RNAcentral.